This 1158-nucleotide long non-coding RNA is filed under the name Homo sapiens (human). RNAcentral's name for it is "HSALNT0306578". Lineage: Eukaryota; Metazoa; Chordata; Mammalia; Primates; Hominidae. The record is from RNAcentral.
AUGGGCGUCCUCCCAAGGCCUUUGUCGCUGCCCCUGUCCCAGACUUUUGUAGGGGUCAGGCGGCCGCUACGGCCACCUUUCCAGCGCUAGGACCCCGGCUAGCCACGAAGCCGGGGACCUUCGGAGCCGGAAGUAGUCCCGCCUGGAACUGGACGACCCCGGAAGCUGCAGUGCCAGCGGCGGCGCGGCAGGGGGCGCGGUUACCCGUGGUUUUUCGCGUUGGACGACGGGCUCUGAGGGCCAAGUUCUUGUCACGAAUUUAGUUUGUUUCAGAGCGGCAGGACUCGUAGCUAGAGAACGAGGACCCACGACGCGUACGCGUUACAGUCCUGUUUCCCUAGAAACGGAGCUGCCGGCGCGGAGGUGGCUUUGAGAUUCUGCGAAAGACCUGACUGCUCUUCAACAAUUAUUGUGUUGCACCCUCCCAGGCGCCCAGUCCAAACCCCGUCAGAAUAACCACCCGGGACAGCGGUGGUCGAAGUAACUACGCCUAACUUUUCGCUUUCCAUCGUGUCCCCUCCAUAAAAACACUGCUGGGCCCCCGGAAUCCAAAGGCGAAGGAGGCACACUCCCUGCCUUAGACUUGUUGAGAGUUUUAUAGGGGCAGUGCAUAACGUACAUGAUGGUGUAUGACGAUUCGGAUGGUAGUACGAGUCAUAAACUCAAAUUCCAACAGCAUCCAGCCAGGACUUUUAAAAUUCCUUGCAACGCAAGUCUACUGGUGACAAAUUCCCUCAAAUUUUGUUUGCCUGAGAAAGUCUUUCGCCCUCACUGUUGAAGGAUAAUUUCACUGGAUACAGAAUUCUAGGACACAAUGAGAAGUCAGCAGUUUGCAACCAAAAGAGUGUCCUCUCUAGAAUCUGACCAGGCUGACACAGCAAUCUACAACUUCCAGCCUCCAGAACUGUGAGAAAUAAAUUGCUGUUAUUUAUAAGACACCCAGUCUGUGGUACUUUGUUAUAGCAGCCUAACAUGACUAAAACACACUGAAUAACCCAAUGUUUGAGUGAUUACCUGUCCUUUACUUCUCUUAUCCAUUCCUCUUGCCUUCCAAUUCCUGCUACCAUUGUCUAGAAGUUGGCUGAAAGGAACAAAGAGCACCUGAUCAGUUAUCUAAUAACAUUUAUUACUUUUUUAUUUCCUACAUUGUGUUACUUU